CGCGCUCUUGUUUUGCAUCUUCUCAUUUUAUCGAUGCCUCAUCAACUAUGUGACAUACAGAUGCUUUUGCUAUGACUGCUGUGGGCCCAGAAGGAAGUGGCCCUCAUUAUCUGCAGAUUCUGUAUCCAUGGUUUCGCGUAUGCUCGAUUGGGUCUUCGAGACCAAUUUUCAUUAUCUACUGGGAUGGCUGAACUGGAGCCCUUUGCCACUUUUGUCACUGCAGUGUUUUGAGAAGCUGUAAUUAAAUGAGAAAAGUUGAUCUGAGCACAUGGCAUGGUGGCAGCACUUGGCAUUAAAGUUGCCACCAAACUACCGAAUGCAAAAUUUUGAGCAAGUUGGGGAUUUCCUGCUCUGCUGAAUGCAUCUGAAGAACUUCAAGGGAACAAAAACAUUGUUGAGAUAAAACAGAAAAAGUUCUAUGGAUUUUUUUAAAGCUCAGUUUAUGACAGCUGCUGUAAUUUCAAUUUGUCAUGUAAGUACACCAUUCUCCAGUCCAUUUCUUUAUGCUUUGGUCCACAAGCUCUUUCUACAGUACAUACAACAAUGUACUCCCAAUAAUACUGAUACUCUAGAUGUUCCUGUAGAAUCUCAUACUGAUACUCCACCAUAUUCUCGGGUGUUAAAAUGAGGGGUCAAUUUUGGACAGGCCUGAACAAAAGCCUAAGGCUUUUUUCACUUUACUGGUGGCUGCCAUGUUUUUGGUUAUUUUAAAAUUAGAAUUCACUUUAAAAUGAUAAAUGUCAUUACUAAUGCUGCCUGUAGAGACUUUGAGGGAUGUACACGGAACUGGCAGGGGCAGCAGCUUGAAG
Molecule: long non-coding RNA, 809 nt
Organism: Hemicordylus capensis (graceful crag lizard)
Lineage: Eukaryota; Metazoa; Chordata; Lepidosauria; Squamata; Cordylidae
Exons: 3
Source: RefSeq, a predicted model, not a curated record